GAAAAUGGAUUUAAGUACACUGUAAAAACGAAAAUGUUGUGAAAACUCAAAAUUUCAAGGCAACUUACUGCACUAGAUUUGAGUUUUGAGGCCAACUCAAACUCCUACGUUUUGAAAA
This is a long non-coding RNA of Sander lucioperca (pikeperch), 118 nucleotides long. RefSeq lists it as uncharacterized. The transcript is spliced from 3 exons. Lineage: Eukaryota; Metazoa; Chordata; Actinopteri; Perciformes; Percidae. The record is from RefSeq and is a predicted model, not a curated record.